This 253-nucleotide ribosomal RNA is filed under the name uncultured bacterium. RNAcentral describes it as "partial 16S ribosomal RNA". It matches the Rfam family "Bacterial small subunit ribosomal RNA", at positions 524 to 776 of the family's 1533-position model. The record is from RNAcentral.
UACGGGGGGGGCAAGCGUUGUUCGGAAUUACUGGGCGUAAAGGGCUUGUAGGUGGCCAACUAAGUCAGACGUGAAAUCCCUCGGCUUAACCGGGGAACUGCGUCUGAUACUGGAUGGCUUGAGUGUGGGAGAGGGAUGCGGAAUUCCCAGUGUAGUGGUGAAAUACGUAGAGAUUGGGAAGAACACCAGUGGCGAAGGCGGCUAUCUGGACGGUUUCUGACGCUAAGACGCGAAAGCGUGGGGAGCAAACAGG